Molecule: ribosomal RNA, 253 nt
Filed under: uncultured bacterium
Lineage: Bacteria
Description: partial 16S ribosomal RNA
Rfam family: Bacterial small subunit ribosomal RNA
Source: RNAcentral
UACGUAGGUGACAAGCGUUGUCCGGAUUUACUGGGCGUAAAGAGCGCGCAGGCGGUCGAUCAAGUCGAGUGUGAAAGCCCCCGGCUCAACUGGGGAGGGUCAUUCGAUACUGAUCGACUCGAAGGCAGGAGAGGGUAGUGGAAUUCCCGGUGUAGUGGUGAAAUGCGCAGAUAUCAGGAGGAACACCGAUGGCGAAGGCAGGUCUCUGGGCCGUUACUGACGCUGAGGAGCGAAAGCGUGGGGAGCGAACAGG